Pelobates cultripes (western spadefoot toad) is the source of this 216-nucleotide non-coding RNA. The record is from the annotation of a GenBank genome assembly. NCBI's taxonomy places the organism in Eukaryota, Metazoa, Chordata, Amphibia, Anura, Pelobatidae.
CGGUACUUACCCGGUCGCCGGCGGUCCCACGCCGGCGAUCGCGGUGGGGGGGACUCCCAGGGAGCCCCCUGCGGCACGUCUGUCCUCCACGAAGCCCCCCGGACGUGUGAGAGUGGGGUCCUUGCGAGGACCCCACAAUCACAUGGCCAGGGAUAGCUGGCUUCUGUAUUGCCAGCAGGGGGGCUGCCUGUAAUGACAGGUGGUCCCCCUGCUGGC